RNAcentral lists this unclassified non-coding RNA (372 nucleotides) under uncultured Gammaproteobacteria bacterium. RNAcentral describes it as "contains 16S-23S intergenic spacer region". The record is from RNAcentral. Lineage: Bacteria; Pseudomonadati; Pseudomonadota; Gammaproteobacteria.
UCCGGUUUGUCACCGGCAGUCUCCUUAGAGUGCCCUUGCGUAGCAACUAAGGAUAAGGGUUGCGCUCGUUGCGGGACUUAACCCAACAUCUCACGACACGAGCUGACGACAGCCAUGCAGCACCUGUGUUACAUCUCUCUUUCGAGCACUCUGACCUCUCAGCCAGAUUAUGUACAUGUCAAGGGUAGGUAAGGUUUUUCGCGUUGCAUCGAAUUAAUCCACAUCAUCCACCGCUUGUGCGGGUCCCCGUCAAUUCCUUUGAGUUUUAAUCUUGCGAUCGUACUCCCCAGGCGGUCAACUUCACGCGUUAGCUUCGUUACUAAGGAUAGCUAUCCCCAACAACCAGUUGACAUCGUUUAGGGCGUGGACUAC